RNAcentral lists this long non-coding RNA (3480 nucleotides) under Marmota monax (woodchuck). The record is from RNAcentral. Lineage: Eukaryota; Metazoa; Chordata; Mammalia; Rodentia; Sciuridae.
GAGUAUUAUUUAACUUGAGAAUUGUACAUUUUAUUAUUCUUUAGUUGUUUUACUAAAAAUUACAAUGUGAAAUCUUGACUUAAAUCUCUUAAUAUAAACUAGUACUUCUCUUACUUCUCUGACAAAAAAUAUGUUUGAAAAAUAUGUUCAGUAUCCUACCCUAUGCUCACAUCUGCACUAUAUUUGAAGUGUAUUUUAUUUUUAUAUCACAAUAGAUUUCAUUAUUAUUCUGCUGAGUCAAAACUUAUUUACAUUUGCCUAUUUAUUUACCAUUAAUUCUCUUUAUUUGUGAAUUUGUAUUUAUUUCUGGGACGAGUUACAUUUCCUCAAAAACUCCCUUAAGCAAUUCUUUUAAUCUAACUCUGCUUAUUAUAAAUAAGUAAUUUUUAUUUGUCUUAAAACAUUUUAAUUCCACCUUCCUCUUUGGAGAAUAUUUUUGCCGGUUUUUUAAAAUGGUGUCAACAGCUAUUUUCUUUCAUCAUUUUAAAUAUAUGAUUCAAAUUUUCCCCUGUAUUUUGUUGUUUUUUAUUCCAUAAUAAUUCAUUAUAUGAAACCUUCAGCUUAUCAAGAGUGGUAAGAUCUUCCAAACAAAAGCUGAACAAAGAAACUCUAGAAUUCAAUAACACAAUCAAUAACUUAGUCUUAACUGACAUAUAUAGAAUAUUUUAUCCUUCAGCCAGUGAAUACAGAUUCUUCUCAGCAGCACAUGGAUUCUUUUCUAAAAUAGACUAUAUGCCACAAAACAACUCUUAGCAAAUACAAAAAAGUAGAGAUACUACCCUGUAUUCUACCAGAUCAUAAUGGAAUGAAGCUAGGAAACAAUGAUAAAAUAAAGAUAAAAGCUACUCCAAUACCCAGAGACUAAAUAAUAUUCUACUGAAUGAAUAGUGGGUUGCUAAAGACAUCCAGAAGGAGAUUAAAAAAUUCUUAGAGGUAAAUGAGAACACUGAUACAACAUAUCUAAAUCUCUGGUAAAUUAUGAAGGCAAUUCUAAGAGGAAAGUUCAUUGCAUGGAGUUCAUUCCUUAACAGAAGAAAAAGUCAACAAAUAAAUGACUUAAUAUUACAUGUCAAAGUCCUAGAGAAAGAAGGCCAAACCAACACCAAAAGCAGUAGAAGACAUGAAAUAAUUGAAAUCAGAGCUGAAAUCAAUGAAAUUGAAACAAAACAAACAUUUGAAAAAAUUGACCAAAAAAAUAGUUUUUUGAAAAAAUAAAUAAAAUUGACACACCCUUAGCCAUGCUAAUAAAGAAAAGGAGAGAAAACUCAAAUUACUAACAUACAUGAUGAAAAAGAAAAUAUCAUAACAGACACUACAGAAACAUAGAAGAUAAUUAGAAACUAUUUUGAAAACUUGUACUCCAAUAAAAUAGAAAAUAUUGAAUGCAUUGACAAAUUUCUAGAUUCCUAUGAUUUUCCAAAAUUAAAUCUGGAUGAUAUACACAAUUUAAACAGAUCAGUUUCAAGAAAUAAAAUAGAAGAUGCCAUCAGAAGCCCCCCAACCAAGAAAAGCCAAGAAUAGAUGGAUACACAGGUGAGUUCUACAAGACCUUUAAUGAAGAACUAAUACCAAUACUUAUCAAAUUAUUUCAUGAAAUAGAAAAAGAGAGAUCACUUCCAAACUCAUUUUAUGAAGCAAGUAUCACCAUGAUUCCAAAACCAGGCAAGGACACAUCAAAGAAAGAAAACUUCAGACCAAUAUCUCUAAUAAACAUAGAUGCAAAAAUUCUCAAUAAAAUUCUGGAAAAUCUAAUACAAAACAUAUCAAAAAGAUAGGGUACCAUGAUCAAAUAGGGUUUAUCCAAGGGAUGUGAGGUUCGUUCAACAUAUGGAAAUCAAUAAAUGUAAUUUGUCACAUCAGUAGACUUAAAGAUAAGAAUCAUAAGAUAUCUCAAAAUAUGCAGAAAAAGCAUUUGACAAAAUACAGCACCCCUUUAUGUUCAAAACACUAGAAAAACUAGGGAUAACAAGACCAUAUCUCAAAAUCAAGAGUCAAAAUCAUAAAAGCUAUCUAUGCUAAGCCCCAGGCCAACAUCAUUCUAAAUGGAGAAAAAUUGAAAGCACUCCUUCUAAAAACUGGAACAAGACAGGGAUGCCCUCUCUCACCAUUUCUAUUUAACAUAGUUCUUGAAACACUGGCCAGAGCAAUUAGACAGAUAAAAAGAAAUUAAAGGGAGAAGAAGAACUCAAAUAUGACUAUUUGCUGAUGAUAUGAUUCUAUACCUAGAAGACACACACAAAAAAAAUCCACCAGAAAACUUCUAGAACUAAUAAGUGAAUUCAGCAAAGUAGCACUAUAAAAAAUCAACACCCGUAAAUCAAAGGCAUUUCUGUAUAUCAGUGACAAAUCAUCUGAAAGGGAGAUGAGGAAAACUACCCCAUUUACAAUAGUCUCAAAAAAAAAAGUACUUUGGGUAUCAACUUAAUGAAAGAGGUGAAAGACUUCUACAAUGAAAUCUACAGACACUAAAGGAAGAAAUUUAAAAAGACCUUAAAAGAUGGAAAGAUCUCCCUUGUUCUUGGAUAGGCUGAAUUAAUACAGUCAAAAUGACCAUACUAACAAAAGCAUUCUAUAGAUUUAGUGCAAUUCCAAUCAAAGUCCCAAUGGUAUUCCUCACAGAAAUAGAAAAAACAGUCAUGAAAUUCAUCUAUAACAGACCUCAAACUAUACUACAGACCAAUAGUAACAAAAUCAGCAAGGUAUUGUCAGCAAAAUAGACUGGUAGACCAAUGGUACAGAAUAGAGGACACAGACACCAACCCACACAACUACAGUAAUCUUAUAUUAGACAAAGGCAAACAAAGGCACCAAAAACAUACAUUGGAGAAAAGAUUGUCUCUUCAAAAAACGGCUCUGGGAAUACGGGAAAUCCAUAUGCAACAAAACGAAAUGAAACCCCUAUCUCUCACCAUGCACAAACCUCAACUCAAAGUGGACCUAGGAAUUAAACCAGAGACACUGUGUCUAAUAGAAGAAAAAGUAGGCCCAAAUCUCCAUCAUGUCAUAUUAGGCCCUAACUUUCUUAAUAAGAUUCCUAUAGCACAAGACUUUAAAUCAAGAGUCAAUAAAUGGGCUGCAUUCAAACUAAAAAUCUUCUUCUCGGCAAAAGAAACAAUCAGUGAGGUUAAUAGAGAGCCUACAUUUUGGGAGCAAAUUUUUACCACAUGCACAUCAGAUAAAGCACUAAUCUCUAGGAUAUACAAAGAACUCAAAAACCUUAAAACCAAAAAAAAAAAAAAAAGAAAGAAAAAACACACAAAUAACCCAAUCAAUAAAUGGGCCAAAGAAAUGAAGAGUCACUUCUCAGAAGAUGAUAUACAAUCAAUCAACAAAUAUAUGAAAAAAUGUUCAACAUCUCUAGCAAUUAGAGAAAUGAAAAUCAAAACUAUUCUAAGAUUUCGUCUCAUUCCAGCCAGAAUGGCAGCUAUUAAUACAAACAACAAUAAGCAUUGAUGAGGGUGUGUGCGGGGUGGGGGGGGG